GAUGAACGCUGGCGGCGUGCUUAACACAUGCAAGUCGAACGAAGCACUUAAGAUUGCUUCUUCGGAUGACGUCUUUUGUGACUUAGUGGCGGACGGGUGAGUAACGCGUGGGUAACCUGCCUCACACAGGGGGAUAACAGUUAGAAAUGACUGCUAAUACCGCAUAACCCGAUAGGAUCGCAUGAUCCAGACGGAAAAGAUUUAUCGGUGUGAGAUGGACCCGCGUCUGAUUAGCUAGUUGGUGAGGUAACGGCCCACCAAGGCGACGAUCAGUAGCCGGCCUGAGAGGGUGAACGGCCACAUUGGGACUGAGACACGGCCCAAACUCCUACGGGAGGCAGCAGUGGGGAAUAUUGCACAAUGGGGGAAACCCUGAUGCAGCGACGCCGCGUGAGUGAAGAAGUAGUUCGGUAUGUAAAGCGCUAUCAGCAGGGAAGAAAAUGACGGUACCUGACUAAGAAGCCCCGGCUAACUACGUG
This 479-nucleotide ribosomal RNA is filed under the name uncultured bacterium. Its description in RNAcentral is "partial 16S ribosomal RNA". It matches the Rfam family "Bacterial small subunit ribosomal RNA", at positions 28 to 507 of the family's 1533-position model. The record is from RNAcentral.